CAGUAUUCACCCUUUUUUAUAAAUAUUUUGUACCUUGCCCUCUUUUGGUAUUUAAAAUUUUUAUUUGCCCUCUCCUGGUAAUUUGCCCGCAAUUACAGGAAAAAAGAUACAUUUAUAUAUUGAAAGAUGAUGCUUAAUUACACUGACCUAAAAUUACAAACCCAAAACUCUCCUAUGGUCAAGCAACGAAAAAAAGUACCAGCAAGACCAAGAUAGAGAGGUGGCUCUUACAUAUGGACAUACAAAUACAACAUGUAAACAUCGACUCCAUACU
RNAcentral lists this unclassified non-coding RNA (274 nucleotides) under Hevea brasiliensis (rubber tree). The record is from RNAcentral. Lineage: Eukaryota; Viridiplantae; Streptophyta; Magnoliopsida; Malpighiales; Euphorbiaceae.